This 451-nucleotide ribosomal RNA is filed under the name uncultured bacterium. Its description in RNAcentral is "bacterial SSU rRNA". It matches the Rfam family "Bacterial small subunit ribosomal RNA", at positions 29 to 521 of the family's 1533-position model. The record is from RNAcentral.
AACGAACGCUGGCGGCAUGCCUAACACAUGCAAGUCGAACGAGACCUUCGGGUCUAGUGGCGCACGGGUGCGUAACGCGUGGGAAUCUGCCCUUGGGUCCGGAAUAACUCAGAGAAAUUUGAGCUAAUACCGGAUGAUGACGUAAGUCCAAAGAUUUAUCGCCCAGGGAUGAGCCCGCGUAGGAUUAGCUAGUUGGUGAGGUAAAGGCUCACCAAGGCGACGAUCCUUAGCUGGUCUGAGAGGAUGAUCAGCCACACUGGGACUGAGACACGGCCCAGACUCCUACGGGAGGCAGCAGUGGGGAAUAUUGGACAAUGGGCGAAAGCCUGAUCCAGCAAUGCCGCGUGAGUGAUGAAGGCCUUAGGGUUUGUAAAGCUCUUUUUACCCGGGGAUGAUAAUGACAGUACCGGGAGAAUAAGCCCCCGGCUAACUCCGUGCCAGCCGCCGCCGU